RNAcentral lists this transfer RNA (89 nucleotides) under Candidatus Bathyarchaeota archaeon. Its description in RNAcentral is "tRNA-Ile". It matches the Rfam family "tRNA". Rfam says of the family: Transfer RNA (tRNA) molecules are approximately 80 nucleotides in length. Their secondary structure includes four short double-helical elements and three loops (D, anti-codon, and T loops). The record is from RNAcentral. Lineage: Archaea; Thermoproteati; Candidatus Bathyarchaeota.
GGCGGCUUGGCAGAGUUAGGUUAUUGCGCCAGCCUGAUAAGCUGGUGGAGCAGCUAAGCUCUACGUGGGUUCAAAUCCCACAGCCGCCG